CGACCCCGCCAGCCCUCAUGGUAAUGCCCCCACAGCAGAACGAUAUAGACAAACCAUGCCACAAUAGAGAGCACGGC
This 77-nucleotide transfer RNA is filed under the name Salmonella sp. FORC89. RNAcentral describes it as "tRNA-Arg". Lineage: Bacteria; Pseudomonadati; Pseudomonadota; Gammaproteobacteria; Enterobacterales; Enterobacteriaceae. The record is from RNAcentral.